CACCUGCGCCCCAGGUGAGCAGCGAGGGGGGGCGGGGGGAGGGGCCGAGCUGGAGGCGGCUCACCUGGCGGGACAGGCGUCUGGCUACAGCGGACGAUGCAGUGAGCCAUGCCCCGCCCCGGACACCCCCGCCCAUCAUCCGGGCCCCCACGCUUGGGACCGUGGGAGCGGCCAGCAGAGCUAUGCCUGGAGACCUACGAUGAGCCAUCCCGGGCCCCACCGAGCCGCCGCACCCGCAGGCCAGACCCCAAGGACCCCGGGCACCACGGGCCCGAGAGCCUUACCUUCAUCUCUGGCUCUGCCGAGCAGACUCCCGAGCCCCCUGCCUGCUGUCUGCUCUGGCGACCCUGGGUGUGGGACUGGUGCCGGGCGGCCUUCUGCUUCCGCCGCUGCCGGGACUGCCUCCAGCGCUGCGGGGCCUGUGCGCGGGGCUGCAGCCCCUGCUUGUCCUCGGGGGACUCCCCUGAAGGGGCGGCCGAAGCCAGCUGGGUCAAGGAACACAACGGCGUGCCCCCCAGCCCUGACCAUGCGCCUCCCAGCCGGCGGGAUGGCCAGCGGCUCAAGUCGGCCAUGGGGAGCAGCUUCAGCUACCCCGACGUCAAGCUCAAAGGCAUCCCAGUGUACCCCUACCGCAGCGCCACCUCCCCCGCCCCCGACGCGGACUCCUGCUGCAAGGAGCCGCUGGCUGACCCCCCGCCCAUGCGGCACAGCCUGCCUAGCACCCUCGCCAGCAGUCCCCGGGGCUCCGAGGAGUACUACUCCUUCCACGAGUCGGACCUGGACCUGCCCGAGAUAGGCAGUGGCUCCAUGUCCAGCCGAGAGAUCGACGUGCUCAUCUUCAAGAAGCUGACAGAGCUGUUCAGCGUACACCAGAUCGAUGAGCUGGCCAAGUGCACCUCAGACACUGUGUUCCUGGAGAAGACCAGUAAGAUCUCGGACCUUAUCAGCAGCAUCACCCAGGACUACCACCUGGAUGAGCAGGACGCUGAGGGCCGCCUGGUGCGCGGCAUCAUUCGCAUCAGUACCCGCAAGAGCCGCGCCCGCCCGCAGACGGCAGAGGGGCGCUCAAGCCGGGCGGCCGCCCCAGCUGCCACCGCCCCAGACAGCGGCCACGAGACCAUGGUGGGCUCAGGGCUCAGCCAGGAUGAACUCACAGUGCAGAUCUCCCAGGAGACGACCGCAGAUGCCAUUGCCAGGAAGCUGAGACCCUAUGGAGCCCCAGGUUUGGUCCUGACGUGAUGAGGAGUGCGGAGAGGAGAGGGGACAGCCCUCGCGGCCCCCAACCUGCCCCUCUCCCAGCUUCCUCCUGGGGAUACCCUGCCAGCCACGACUCAUCCUUCCAGGGCACCGACACAGACUCUUCAGGGGCACCGCUGCUCCAGGUGACCUGCUAACCCUCGCCAGGCCCAGCGCUGCCUCCCCAUCUGAGAGGACAGUCUACAGCAUGAGGAGAGGGACCAGAGCCCCCCUUUGUGGGAGGCAAGGCCAUGAGCCCAGAAGCAGUGCCCACUCCGGCUCCUCCCGCCUUGGCUGAAUGGUUCCCGAGCCACAUGCAUUUCACUGGGCUGUGGCGCCCCCGUUCCCCUGGGGUCCCCCGCUGGCCUGGCCCCUGCCUGGGCCUGUCCUUCCUGCCCCGUCUUCAGGAGGCCUGGGUCAUGGAAAGCAAAAGCUGAGGAGGGGACUUCUGGGAUUGAAUCCCGACUCCAUCCCCAUAACAUGCUCCCCCUGUAACAUACAACCCAUAAUCUAUCAUACAGUCCUCCCCCUCCCCAGGACAGAGCGGGUAACAGCUCAAAGAAGCUUGUCUUAAAUGUAUUGGGUUUGAGGGCAGGCAGAACCUCUGUCUGGAACUCUGUGGGCAGUGCCCACUCCAUGUUAUGUUCUGUUGAGCAGUUAGGUUCCUGGCUGGUGUUCUACAUACUAAUGUGACCAUAGUACAAACUUAAUAGAUAUCUGUCUGCUCAUCUUGGCUGUGAUGCUGUCCUUUCUGUCGCAUUUGCCUGACUGCUGCCUGGGGCAGGAGACCACGCAGAGCAUCCAGCCUGGCCUAGUGCUGUGGGGUUGAGGUCAGAAGGCUAAAUUGAGAGCGGUAAGGCCCAUCCCUGACUCAUCACGGUGAGUUCCAGGAGAUCGAGACAAGUGCAGCAUCUGUACCUUAGAAGGAUUUACUAAGUAGUUUCUGUCAUGAUUGAGAGGUCCGUCUAGGCAGGCCUUUUGCCCCAAUUCACUGCCCACAGGUGGGCCUGCUCCUGGCCAUCCCUGCAGUUUCUCCACACCCUGAGUGCAUGUCAGCCCUCACCUAGCCCGCCUCAGACCUGGGGCUCCCUCCAUCCCCCUGGUGCUGACAGCAUUGAGCAUCACUGGUGUCUUCUUGGCUCUCCCAACAGUCCUGGGGUGGGUCAUUCUUUCACAGGGGCUGGGAAUCAGAGGCGUUAAGGAAUUGAGUGGGUCACAUACUAGUAACUGUGGCUCUGUGCCCAGAAGCUGGCCUCUUAGCACUUUUGCCCGCAAGCUGGCAAACUGACCUGCUUGGGGUAGAAGCCAGAUCCCCUAUGUGGACAUCAGAGCCCAGCUGGGUUCAGAAAAGUGAAAGUGAAAGUCGCUCAGUCAUGUCCGACUCUUUGCGACCCCAUGGACUGUAUAGUUCAUGGAAUUCUCCAGGCCAG
Dama dama (fallow deer) is the source of this 2666-nucleotide RNA transcript. It is a transcript of the gene named keratinocyte differentiation factor 1, with no coding region annotated. The record is from RefSeq and is a predicted model, not a curated record. Lineage: Eukaryota; Metazoa; Chordata; Mammalia; Artiodactyla; Cervidae. The transcript has 4 exons.